CCUGCACGAAAGGUGUAACGAUCUGGACACUGUCUCAGCCAUGAGCUCGGUGAAAUUGUAGUAUCGGUGAAGAUGCCGAUUACCCGCAGUGGGACGAAAAGACCCCGUGCACCUUUACUAUAGCUUAGUAUUGACUUUGGAUAAGUGAUGUGUAGGAUAGGUGGGAGACUUCGAUCCUGCGUCGCCAGGCGUAGGUUAGUCAUUGUUGAAAUACCACCCUUCGCUUAUCUGAAGCCUAACCCCUUGCGGGGGACAUUGCUUGGUGGGUAGUUUGACUGGG
This 280-nucleotide non-coding RNA is filed under the name Pseudoalteromonas citrea. Its description in RNAcentral is "partial 23S ribosomal RNA". It matches the Rfam family "Bacterial large subunit ribosomal RNA", at positions 1987 to 2278 of the family's 2925-position model. Lineage: Bacteria; Pseudomonadati; Pseudomonadota; Gammaproteobacteria; Alteromonadales; Pseudoalteromonadaceae. The record is from RNAcentral.